GAUGAACGCUGGCGGCGUGCCUAAUACAUGCAAGUCGAGCGAACAGACGAGGAGCUUGCUCCUCUGACGUUAGCGGCGGACGGGUGAGUAACACGUGGAUAACCUACCUAUAAGACUGGGAUAACUUCGGGAAACCGGAGCUAAUACCGGAUAAUAUAUUGAACCGCAUGGUUCAAUAGUGAAAGACGGUUUUGCUGUCACUUAUAGAUGGAUCCGCGCCGCAUUAGCUAGUUGGUAAGGUAACGGCUUACCAAGGCAACGAUGCGUAGCCGACCUGAGAGGGUGAUCGGCCACUCUGGAACUGAGACACGGUCCAGACUCCUACGGGAGGCAGCAGUAGGGAAUCUUCCGCAAAGGGCGAAAGCCUGACGGAGCAACGCCGCGUGAGUGAUGAAGGUCUUCGGAUCGUAAAACUCUGUUAUUAGGGAAGAACAAAUGUGUAAGUAACUAUGCACGUCUUGACGGUACCUAAUCAGAAAGCCACGGCUAACUACGUG
RNAcentral lists this ribosomal RNA (497 nucleotides) under uncultured bacterium. Its description in RNAcentral is "partial 16S ribosomal RNA". It matches the Rfam family "Bacterial small subunit ribosomal RNA", at positions 28 to 507 of the family's 1533-position model. The record is from RNAcentral.